AACGAACGCUGGCGGCAUGCCUAACACAUGCAAGUCGAACGAGACCUUCGGGUCUAGUGGCGCACGGGUGCGUAACGCGUGGGAACCUGCCCUUAGGUUCGGAAUAACUCCCCGAAAGGGGUGCUAAUACCGGAUAAUGUCUUCGGACCAAAGAUUUAUCGCCUUUGGAUGGGCCCGCGUUGGAUUAGCUAGUUGGUAGGGUAAAAGCCUACCAAGGCGACGAUCCAUAGCUGGUCUGAGAGGAUGAUCAGCCACACUGGGACUGAGACACGGCCCGGAAUCCUACGGGAGGCAGCAGUGGGGAAUAUUGGACAGUGGGCGAAAGCCUGAUCCAGCAAUGCCGCGUGAGUGAUGAAGGCCUUAGAGUAGUAAAGCUCUUUUACCCGGGAUGAUAAUGACAGUACCGGAAGAAUAAGCGCCGGCUAACUCCGUG
This 433-nucleotide ribosomal RNA is filed under the name uncultured bacterium. RNAcentral describes it as "partial 16S ribosomal RNA". It matches the Rfam family "Bacterial small subunit ribosomal RNA", at positions 29 to 507 of the family's 1533-position model. The record is from RNAcentral.